Molecule: non-coding RNA, 223 nt
Organism: Pelobates cultripes (western spadefoot toad)
Lineage: Eukaryota; Metazoa; Chordata; Amphibia; Anura; Pelobatidae
Source: the annotation of a GenBank genome assembly
GUGUAACGGAUCGCCUGGCACCCCGACUGGGUACCUCCGUUGAAGGAUGCUCCUAGCACUUCCUGAGGACUCCAAGCACUGCAGCAGACACCACAAUCACCGAACCAGAGAAGCGUAUACCUUCUCUCAAGCAUAUGAAUGCUGUAGACAGUUGAAUAGGAACCAUACGAAUAGGUUUACUCUCCUAGCAGUCAAACUGGAACAGCAUACAAUGAAUCCUUCC